GCAAUGGUGGCUCAGUGGCAGAGCUCUUGCCUUCCAUGUGGGAGACCCGGGUUUGAUUCCUGGCCUUUGAA
RNAcentral lists this transfer RNA (71 nucleotides) under Loxodonta africana (African savanna elephant). It matches the Rfam family "tRNA". Rfam says of the family: Transfer RNA (tRNA) molecules are approximately 80 nucleotides in length. Their secondary structure includes four short double-helical elements and three loops (D, anti-codon, and T loops). Lineage: Eukaryota; Metazoa; Chordata; Mammalia; Proboscidea; Elephantidae. The record is from Rfam by way of RNAcentral.